CCUACGGGUGGCAGCAGUCGAGAAUCAUUCACAAUGGGGGAAACCCUGAUGGUGCGACGCCGCGUGGGGGAAUGAAGGUCUUCGGAUUGUAAACCCCUGUCAUGUGGGAGCAAAUUAAAAAGAUAGUACCACAAGAGGAAGAGACGGCUAACUCUGUGCCAGCAGCCGCGGUAAUACGGAGGUCUCAAGCGUUGUUCGGAAUCACUGGGCGUAAAGGGGGCGUAGGCUGUUUCGUAAGUCGUGUGUGAAAGGCGCGGGCUCAACCCGCGGACGGCACAUGAUACUGCGAGACUAGAGUAAUGGAGGGGGAACCGGAAUUCUCGGUGUAGCAGUGAAAUGCGUAGAUAUCGAGAGGAACACUCGUGGCGAAGGCGAGUACCUGGACAUUAACUGACGCUGAGGCACGAAGGCCAGGGGAGCGAAAGGGAUUAGAUACCCGAGUAGUC
Molecule: ribosomal RNA, 446 nt
Filed under: uncultured bacterium
Lineage: Bacteria
Description: partial 16S ribosomal RNA
Rfam family: Bacterial small subunit ribosomal RNA
Source: RNAcentral